CCUGCUGUUCCGUCAGCAGUAGCCUACAACCAGAUGCACCAAAUAGUGAUAUAAUGUAUCAAGCUGGUUGGACAAUGUACUCCUCCCGAAAGGGGCAGACAGAAGCGUGAGUGGAAAUCAAUGGCUGUUAGUAUCAUACAGUCGGGAGG
RNAcentral lists this non-coding RNA (149 nucleotides) under Dysgonomonas hofstadii. The record is from RNAcentral. Lineage: Bacteria; Pseudomonadati; Bacteroidota; Bacteroidia; Bacteroidales; Dysgonomonadaceae.